This 840-nucleotide ribosomal RNA is filed under the name marine metagenome. Its description in RNAcentral is "bacterial SSU rRNA". It matches the Rfam family "Bacterial small subunit ribosomal RNA", at positions 9 to 871 of the family's 1533-position model. The record is from RNAcentral.
CGAGUUUGAUCCUGGCUCAGGAUGAACGCUGGCGGCGUGCUUUAUGCAUGCAAGUCGAACGGUUCUUCUCUUCGGAGAAGCAUAGUGGCAAACGGGUGAGUAAUGCGUAAGUAACCUGCCCUUAAGUAGGGGAUAACCCUGAGAAAUCGGAGCUAAUACCUUAUGUAGUGCUGGAGGUAAUGCUCCAGCACUAAAGCCUUAGGGCGCCUAGGGAGGGGCUUGCGUCCGAUUAGCUUGUUGGUAGAGUAAUGGUCUACCAAGGCGAUGAUCGGUAGCUGGUCUGAGAGGAUGAUCAGCCACACUGGGACUGAGAUACGGCCCAGACUCCUACGGGAGGCAGCAGCAAGGAAUUUUGUGCAAUGGGCGAAAGCCUGACACAGCGACGUCGCGUGGGGGAUGAAGGUUUUCGGAUUGUAAACCCCUUUUCCUAGGGAUGAAUGAUGACAGUACCUGGGGAAUAAGCCAUGGCUAACUACGUGCCAGCAGCCGCGGUAAUACGUAGGUGGCGAGCGUUAUCCGGAUUUAUUGGGCGUAAAGAGGGCGCUGGCGGCUUUUCAAGUCGGGUGUGAAAUCUCUCGGCUUAACUGAGAGGAGUCAUCCGAUACUGUGAGGCUUGAGAGCAACAGAGGGAGGCGGAAUUCCCGGUGUAGUGGUGAAAUGCGUAGAUAUCGGGAGGAACACCAGCGGCGAAAGCGGCCUCCUAGGUUGUUUCUGACGCUUAGGCCCGAAAGUGUGGGGAGCAAACAGGAUUAGAUACCCUGGUAGUCCACACCGUAAACUAUGAUCACUAGAUGUUGGCGAUAUAAUGUCAGUGUUAAAGAGAAAUCGUUAAGUGAUCCA